UACGAAGGGUGCUAGCGUUGUUCGGAAUUACUGGGCGUAAAGCGCGCGUAGGCGGCUAUUCAAGUCAGGGGUGAAAUCCCGGAGCUUAACUCCGGAACUGCCUUUGAAACUGUAUAGCUGGAGUGUGUGAGGGGAUGGCGGAAUUCCUAAUGUAGAGGUGAAAUUCGUAGAUAUUAGGAGGAACACCGGUGGCGAAGGCGGCCAUCUGGCACACAACUGACGCUGAGGCGCGAAAGCGUGGGGAUCAAACAGG
This 253-nucleotide ribosomal RNA is filed under the name uncultured bacterium. RNAcentral's name for it is "partial 16S ribosomal RNA". It matches the Rfam family "Bacterial small subunit ribosomal RNA", at positions 524 to 776 of the family's 1533-position model. The record is from RNAcentral.